RNAcentral lists this long non-coding RNA (1427 nucleotides) under Mytilus galloprovincialis (Mediterranean mussel). The record is from RNAcentral. Lineage: Eukaryota; Metazoa; Mollusca; Bivalvia; Mytilida; Mytilidae.
AACAAUUAACUCUGAAAAAGGGAAGCUUGGUACUUAUUUUUCUAUAAAAAAUGUUUGAAAAAAGAAAAUUAUUUAGAGGAUUUUAAUAAAAGACAGUCAAUUUGUAAAUUAAGAAUAAGUGCCCACUCUUUGAAAAGGGAGACAGACAGAUAUUGAAAAAAAAUAUAUAGAAAGAUCUGAGCUUCUUUAUUCAAAUUGCUCAAUAUAUAUAUGUUGCCCACUUUAUGAUAUUCAAAAGGAAGAUUUUUUUCAAUACAUUUCUAACGAUUGUUAUAAUUUUAAAAACUGAAAUAAAUCUUCUAAAUUUGUAUGGUUCUUCACCCAAGAAAAUGUAACUCUUAUGGAAAAACUGGGCUGUUAUUUUGGUGACUGUUUUGAUUUAAGGAGAUCAGGUAUGAAUAUUGACAGUAAGUCAAGUAAAUGGUUUUAGAAUGAAUGCAUAUAAUGUAAUUUUAUUCUUUUAUUCACAGUAUAUCAUAUAUGGUUUUUGGCUCUGAUUUUGCCAAUACUAAUAUACUAAACAUAUAUUUUACAUGUACUCUGUGACUUUUAUUGUUGUAGUUACCAAUUAUGUCAAUCAAUUGUAUCUGAUUGUACGCCCUUUAUGGGCCCUGUAAUUCGGGAAAAAAAGAUAUUCUCUUCUAUUGAUAAAGUGUAAAUAAGACAAUAUUUCUCUUAUUUGUUAAAGUCAUUCAUUUCAUUCUUUUCACAUUUUAUUUUUGUAUCAUAGUAAUCAGUAGUGUGUAAUGUAUCUGAUUUCAAAGAGGUUAUAGCCUUUUGUGUUAGUUUAAGUAGGAUUUUAUUAUGUAUAAAAAGGUUGGUGCAUUUUUGGUGCAUAUUUGGUGGCAAUUUAGGUCGGAUAAACAAGUAGAAUUUAUGUCAAAUUCUUGGUGCAUAGUUGGUGCAUUUUUGGUGGCAAUGUGUAUAUAAGGUUCAGAUUUUGUUAUUCUAGGUACAUCUUGGCAGAUCACUGAUAGAUUCGGAAUUACUAUUAUUUCUUUAUAUUUUCUCCGCACAGUAUUGGACACUGAUGCGUGGUUUUAGUCCGCUCAGUAUUGGACACUGAUGCGUGGUUUUUGUCCGCACAGUAUUGGACACUGUUGCUUGGUUUUGUGCACACACAAAAACCACGCAAAGUGUCCAAUACUAUGCGGACAAACCACGCAUAGUGUCCAAUACUAUGCGGACAAAACCACGCAUCAGUUUUCAAUACUAUAAGGACAAAACCACGCAACAGUGUCCAAUACUGUGCGGACAAAAAACAACGCAACAGUGUCCAUUACUGUGCGGACAGUAUUGGACACUGUUUUUUUUUUUAUUUUAUACGGAGUGUAAUGAAAUCUGUUUGUGAUACCAUGUGAAAUAAAUGUGCCACUGAAUCUUUGAACUAUGCAUGUUGUAAACUGUAUAUAAUGUAAAUAGUUUCC